GUACCUUUUACAAAAGUGAAGAGAACUUUGGGUAAUAUUUGCCAUAUAGAAAUAGCACUUUUACCCUUAACUUUUUCCUUUGUUUUUUUUUUUUUUUCUUAACUUGUCAGUGUAGCCUUUGUAUAAAAGCCAUAAGGAUUUGAAAAAAAUUAAGUAAUUUUUUUUCCCGCCCAAUUAUGGAGAGACAAUUAAUCCCGUCUGUGACCUUUCAACGAAGGCUCAGGUGAGUAAUCAUUAACAAGGCUUAAUGGAAAAGUCCAUUAUGGCUCCGCGGGGCAACUUUGAAAGAAUGCCGACAAGCGACUGACAAGCCCACAAUGCAACGGGGCCGCGGCGCGCUCAACGCAAGUCUACCGCCAAGUCAUUACCACCAUUUGAAUACGAGCGCGCCGGGCGGAGCAGCCAAACAGCCGUUGAAAGAGACGAGCUCGAGGGAGACCAUCGAGUGAUUUUUUUUUUUUUUUUUUUAUGACAAGGAAGAGAAUGGCUGGCUCCCCCACUUGCCCUUUCUCCAUCGUCCCCCCGCCCGUCUUUUCUGGCGAGACGAGGCUGCCUGACAAGCUGGUCAUUAGGAAGCUAAUUUAACAAGCUGUGCAGAGUGCUUUUCUUUUUUAGCCCCUCUCCAACAUCAACACGUCUUGUUUCCUGCCCUUGCUUAUUACUAUUAAAUAAAUCAAAAGAUGGGACAGUAAGCGGGAGGGGAAAGUUCAAGAGCGCCGUGAACAACAUGCAAACGCAUUCCGCAAACAUGGCCGACGCGGUGAAUUUCCAAACAUGGCCGAUACGUGACACUAAAGACUGCCACAAACACGCUGAAUUUUGACAGAGUUUAUUUUGAUCAUUCUAACUCUCACAAAGUUAAAGUCUCAGCCCCGACCACUGACCUGAGAGAAAAAAAAGACUGGAUGGUUCAUUGGCCACCAAAACGGAACUCACCAUCCGCCAUCUUGAUACUCCCAAAACAACCGUGCCGACCUGUGUGUUAAUCGCCAGUUUCGUGCCUGUGACAAUACAUUCCACAGAGAAGCUGAACUGCGGGUAGUCAAACAUGGCGCCCAGCCAGGAGAGGGCGUCGUCGACGAAGGCCAACAGCGCCAUGAAGGACAAGAGGUUGACCACCACGUUGGCCACUAGGCUCACUGCGAAGAUGGCCCCUUGCGACGCCGCCUCCAGCAGCCGCAAGGUGGCACUCGAGCGGAAAAGAAAGUUUUGGAGAUGGCCAGCGAGGCGGGAGCGGACAUCAAUGACGCCGUCAACAAGUGCGUAG
Long non-coding RNA from Syngnathoides biaculeatus (alligator pipefish), 1267 nucleotides. RefSeq lists it as uncharacterized. The transcript has 4 exons. NCBI's taxonomy places the organism in Eukaryota, Metazoa, Chordata, Actinopteri, Syngnathiformes, Syngnathidae. The record is from RefSeq and is a predicted model, not a curated record.